This 261-nucleotide long non-coding RNA is filed under the name Daucus carota (carrot). RNAcentral's name for it is "long non-coding RNA (DCAR_LNC003482)". The record is from RNAcentral. Lineage: Eukaryota; Viridiplantae; Streptophyta; Magnoliopsida; Apiales; Apiaceae.
AAUUCUAUCUUUAAGGUUAGUGUACAUGAGUUUCUCUAAAGCCAAUUCAUCUACUUUUUCUUCAAGUUUAGCUAUUUUUAGAGAGAGACUACUGUUAUCUGAUUCUGAAGCUAACAAACUAGUGUGCAAGUUAUACAUCUCUUGACCUAGUUCAUUUAUAGUCUUUUUAUAAUCAGCAGUAGUCAUGUCAUCAACAGAAAUUUCAGGAGAUACCUGAGAUGGAGAUUCCUCGAUUGUGUCAGCCAUUAAUGCAAAUGCAUA